GACGAACGCUGGCGGCGUGCUUAACACAUGCAAGUCGAACGGAAAGGCCUCUUUCGGGGGGUACUCGAGUGGCGAACAGGUGAGUAACACGUGAGUAACCUGCCCUUGACUUUGGGAUAACUUCAGGAAACUGGGGCUAAUACCGGAUAGGAGCUCCUGCUGCAUGGUGGGGGUUGGAAAGUUUCGGCGGUUGGGGAUGGACUCGCGGCUUAUCAGCUUGUUGGUGGGGUAGUGGCUUACCAAGGCUUUGACGGGUAGCCGGCCUGAGAGGGUGACCGGCCACAUUGGGACUGAGAGACGGCCCAGACUCCUACGGGAGGCAGCAGUGGGGAAUAUUGCACAAGGGGUGGAAGCCUGAUGCAGCAACGCCGUGUGCGGGAUGACGGCCUUCGGGUUGUAAACCGCUUUCGCUCAUGACGAAGCUUUGUGUGACGGUAGUGGGUAAAGAAGCACCGGCUAACUACGUG
RNAcentral lists this ribosomal RNA (467 nucleotides) under uncultured bacterium. RNAcentral describes it as "partial 16S ribosomal RNA". It matches the Rfam family "Bacterial small subunit ribosomal RNA", at positions 28 to 507 of the family's 1533-position model. The record is from RNAcentral.